RNAcentral lists this long non-coding RNA (348 nucleotides) under Sinocyclocheilus grahami. Its description in RNAcentral is "lncRNA (ENSSGRG00000003443.1)". Lineage: Eukaryota; Metazoa; Chordata; Actinopteri; Cypriniformes; Cyprinidae. The record is from RNAcentral.
GUGAUAUAUGAUUCUAACAACUAUGUGCAUGUGCAGUUACUAAAGUGCUUGCGAGUGUGAUGGAGCUGCAGCAGCGUUUUUCUGUGUCCGUGAAUGAUUAUGAAGAAAGUGAAGGAAAUGCAGAGAAGAGGAAGAUGCAGAAAAAUGAUGUUAGAACAGAAGAUCUUUAUCAAAGUCUUCAGAUCCCAGCUACUGCACACCAUGGAACUAUUAACAGUACAACACUGCUCUCAGAAAGAAAGUAUGUGUUUUUACUGUUUGCUGUGAACAUUCUUAUCUCAGCCAUCAUCCUUGUCAUUGUGGGUCUAAAUUACUCUCACAACAGAGAAACACAACCAAUAAAAGGAC